CGGACGGGCGGCAGCUUACACAUGCAGUCGAGCGGAACGAUACCAGCUUGCUGGUAGGCGUCGAGCGGCGGACGGGUGAGUAAUACUUAGGAAUCUACCUAGUAGUGGGGGAUAGCUCGGGGAAACUCGAAUUAAUACCGCAUACGACCUACGGGAGAAAGGGGGCAGUUUACUGCUCUCGCUAUUAGAUGAGCCUAAGUCGGAUUAGCUAGAUGGUGGGGUAAAGGCCUACCAUGGCGACGAUCUGUAGCUGGUCUGAGAGGAUGAUCAGCCACACCGGGACUGAGACACGGCCCGGACUCCUACGGGAGGCAGCAGUGGGGAAUAUUGGACAAUGGGGGAAACCCUGAUCCAGCCAUGCCGCGUGUGUGAAGAAGGCCUUUUGGUUGUAAAGCACUUUAAGCAGUGAAGAAGACUCCUCGGUUAAUACCCGUGGACGAUGACAUUAGCUGCAGAAUAAGCACCGGCUAACUCUGUGCCAGCAGCCGCGGUAAUACAGAGGGUGCAAGCGUUAAUCGGAAUUACUGGGCGUAAAGCGAGCGUAGGUGGCUUGAUAAGUCAGAUGUGAAAUCCCCGGGCUUAACCUGGGAACUGCAUCUGAAACUGUUAGGCUAGAGUAGGUGAGAGGAAGGUAGAAUUCCAGGUGUAGCGGUGAAAUGCGUAGAGAUCUGGAGGAAUACCGAUGGCGAAGGCAGCCUUCUGGCAUCAUACUGACACUGAGGCUCGAAAGCGUGGGUAGCAAACAGGAUUAGAUACCCUGGUAGUCCGCGCCGUAAACGAUGUCUACUAGUCGUUGGGUCCCUUGAGGACUUAGUGACGCAGCUAACGCAAUAAGUAGACCGCCUGGGGAGUACGGCCGCAAGGUUAAAACUCAAAUGAAUUGACGGGGGCCCGCACAAGCGGUGGAGCAUGUGGUUUAUUCGAUGCACGCGAGACCUUACCUGGUCUUGACAUAUCUAGAAUCCUGCAGAGAUGCGGGAGGGCCUUCGGGAAUUAGAAUUACAGUG
Molecule: ribosomal RNA, 1007 nt
Filed under: uncultured bacterium
Lineage: Bacteria
Description: bacterial SSU rRNA
Rfam family: Bacterial small subunit ribosomal RNA
Source: RNAcentral